AUUAAACGCUGGCGGCAUGCCUUACACAUGCAAGUCGAACGGCAGCACGGGGGCAACCCUGGUGGCGAGUGGCGGACGGGUGAGUAAUACAUCGGAACGUGCCCUGGAGUGGGGGAUAACGUAGCGAAAGUUACGCUAAUACCGCAUAUUCUGUGAGCAGGAAAGCAGGGGGAUCGCAAGACCUUGCGCUCUGGGAGCGGCCGAUGUCGGAUUAGCUAGUUGGUGGGGUAAAGGCCUACCAAGGCGACGAUCCGUAGCGGGUCUGAGAGGACGACCCGCCACACUGGAACUGAGACACGGUCCAGACUCCUACGGGAGGCAGCAGUGGGGAAUUUUGGACAAUGGGGGCAACCCUGAUCCAGCCAUGCCGCGUGAGUGAAGAAGGCCU
This 388-nucleotide ribosomal RNA is filed under the name uncultured bacterium. RNAcentral describes it as "bacterial SSU rRNA". It matches the Rfam family "Bacterial small subunit ribosomal RNA", at positions 29 to 417 of the family's 1533-position model. The record is from RNAcentral.